UACGGGGGGGGCUAGCGUUGUUCGGAAUUACUGGGCGUAAAGGGCUCGUAGGCGGCCAGCUCAGUCAGACGUGAAAUCCCUCGGCUUAACCGAGGAACUGCGUCUGAUACUAGCUGGCUGGAAUCCGGGAGAGGGAUGUGGAAUUCCAGGUGUAGCGGUGAAAUGCGUAGAUAUCUGGAGGAACACCGGUGGCGAAGGCGGCAUCCUGGACCGGUAUUGACGCUGAGGAGCGAAAGCCAGGGGAGCAAACGGG
Molecule: ribosomal RNA, 253 nt
Filed under: uncultured Acidobacteriota bacterium
Lineage: Bacteria; Pseudomonadati; Acidobacteriota
Description: uncultured Acidobacteria bacterium partial 16S ribosomal RNA
Rfam family: Bacterial small subunit ribosomal RNA
Source: RNAcentral